UCUACAUCCAGCCGACCGAUCCGACCGAGCGAACGAACGGAUGCCGAGCGCGGAAAAUGUCAAGCGCAAAAAUACAACGCACGCGGAGGAUGCACACACGAGAUGCAGCUAUACCACUACAUAGCUAGCUUGGUGUGAAUUGGCUAGACAGCGUUCUCAAUUUCAACAGCGGGUCGCGGUGAAAACAAAACACAACAAAAAGACAUCUGCGGAAGACGGGCCGAGAGGAAAAUAAACCAGAAGGAUUCACCGGCCUUUGCUUAGGCAUUCCCAGCCGUCUGCUACCGCUCUCCACGCCGCCUGCAAUUUGAUCUGGACUACGGCAGGCCGACUGCGGCGCAUAAGUGCACGGUAAAAUGUGGCUGACCAUGGCAUCGGUGUUCAGAUUGAUCUCGCGACAAGGCACCCGACUAUUUCCUAUCACCCCGAUGCAGAUUGUCGGUAUAGUGCUCUGCCUUGUCAGUAUGGUAGAGGGAGGUGUACCCGCAGCACCACGUAACCUGACCCUGGUCCUACCGCUGCUCUCCCGUGAGGUCAAGAUCCGCUGGCUGCCCGGUAACCCCCGCGACAACCUGACCGACUACGUGAUCGUCAACCGGGCCGAGGGGAGCGACACGAAGACGGUCAGCCGGAUCGACCCGGAGUACAACUCCUUCACUCUCAAGGACCUGAAAGAAGAGACCGCGUACUUGGUCUACGUCAAAGCCGCCAUAGGCAACGUCCGGAGUCUGAGUAGUGCCACGUUGGAGUUCACAACACCGAGAACGGACGACGAUCCGCUGGAGAUUGAAAACAAACUGAACGCCUCGAAACACGUCUACUCGCUGAUCAUUGUGUUCUUCCUGUGGGUAUUCCUGGUCGUGCUGUGCGUGAAAUACUGGGGAGUGGUGAACAAACUCAGAAGCCAGGUCACUCGCAUGGAGGUCACCGCUGAUGGCGCUCUCAUAGAAAAAGAACAGUUUGAGCGUUGAAACCUCUAUUAAACUUCGGACUUUCGUUGAAUUGAACAACUUGUCCGAAGGCGUACUACCUUUUGCUGUGUUAUCUGCACCUUGACUUCUUCUUCGCAGCUGCUUGUUGUAAUGACGACUGCACCAGACUAUACUUCUUCAGUUUAUAUCAGCCGAUACAGUAAUUGUUUGAAGUUAUGAUCGCCAACUUCAGGUCGGUGAAAAUUUUUAAGAUCAGAAAAUCUUUACUAGGCGAUUGUUUACUUUACUAGGCGACUUUCCGAUUUCCAUGUAUAGUUGUACAGCAAUAACGAUAAUAUGUAAAUAUAAUAGGUCUAUCUUCACGUGAAAUUUUAUUUUAUUACCUGUCACUCAUGAUACAAUUGAGAAACAUACAAUUUUGAACAUUAAAUCCAAUUCAAAAUUCGAAUAUAACCUGAAUACUUUAACGCAUCAUUAUCGAAAUCUUUAAUGGUUUACCAAAACUACAGUCGAAGCGCCCUCUGGUGGUACGAACAUUAAAGAGGGCGCUAUUAAAUAAAACCCCGAUGAGAAAUUUCCAAAGGGUAAUUGUUCUAUUUUUAUGUUUAGAUUUGACAUUUGAUAGCAAGCCAGUCAGGAUGGCCGAGCGGUCUAAGGCGCUACGUUCAGGUCGUAGUCUACUCUGUAGGCGUGGGUUCGAAUCCCACUCCUGACAAUCGUCUUUUUGUGUAAAUUUUGUUUUUACCAAUGUAAUUUCAAAAGCUAUGUUAUGGUGAAUAUGGGUCGGUCGGCAUUGGCUCGAAUCCUUUUCCUUUUAAGUUCAGGCUGAAAAGAAUGUUAUAACAACCAAAUCUGUAAGUGUUAGUAUAGUCAAGUAUGUUUCGAAUCUCUACCUUUAAAGUUAUUUUUUUUUAACUGUUACCGUAUUUCAAGGGUAGAGAGAACGAUUUCCCGAUGACCGUGAACGGUUUUUUUCCCCCGGGCCGGCCCUGCAUACGCUAUAGAAUUAAAAUAACAACCGCCUUAAAGGUUUACUUAAUUAGUUUAGCUUUAGAAACCUUCAGAGACAAUGUUCAACUCAGGACAACCAGUCAGGAUGGCCGAGCGGUCUAAGGCGCUACGUUCAGGUCGUAGUCUACUCUGUAGGCGUGGGUUCGAAUCCCACUCCUGACAAUACUUUUUUUAAAGUGGGUAAUUUAACCUCAAAAGUCAAUUUGAUUUUGCGAUUCUUACAUCCUGCAUGCAAGUCAGGAUGGCCGAGCGGUCUAAGGCGCUACGUUCAGGUCGUAGUCUACUCUGUAGGCGUGGGUUCGAAUCCCACUCCUGACAAUAUUUUUUUUAAAGUGGGUAAUUUAACCUCAAAAGUCAAUUUGAUUUUGCAAUUCUCACGUCCUGCAUGCAAGUCAGGAUGGCCGAGCGGUCUAAGGCGCUACGUUCAGGUCGUAGUCUACUCAGUAGGCGUGGGUUCGAAUCCCACUCCUGACAUUUUUUUGGUAUUCCCUGAUCGAGGUUCCAAGGAUAGAAGCUUACAUUAAACCUUUUCUCUUUUGUUUUUGGGCUCGUUUGUUUUAUAAGUUUGUUUAUUUUUUGGCAUUUUGCAGUUUAAAAAUAUUAAUUAUGAUGUACAGAAUUAGUCUCAAUAUUAUACAAUGUAUAUAUAUUGCAAGGACUAACUGCCUUGUUUGAGAGACUCAAGUUCAGCUUUGAAGAUUGGGUAGAUCUAAAACCAGAAUAUCGAGAAAAGAUAUGUGUACAGGUGAGUAAAAAAAGAAGGAAACCCAUAUGGCG
RNAcentral lists this transfer RNA (2720 nucleotides) under Patiria miniata (bat star). RNAcentral describes it as "uncharacterized LOC119743619, transcript variant X2". The stretch from base 1565 to 1647 matches the Rfam family "tRNA". The record is from RNAcentral. Lineage: Eukaryota; Metazoa; Echinodermata; Asteroidea; Valvatida; Asterinidae.